Molecule: long non-coding RNA, 3417 nt
Organism: Labeo rohita (rohu)
Lineage: Eukaryota; Metazoa; Chordata; Actinopteri; Cypriniformes; Cyprinidae
Exons: 3
Source: RefSeq, a predicted model, not a curated record
CGUGCUCAAGGACACACGCUGGAUGCGAGGAGCAAAGCAAACAGACAGUCAGUGAAAGAGGUUCAGCUGAGAAGCUCAACAGAGAAGUCUAUCCGGAUCAUGAGUUCUGGUGGCAGUUCAGGUGUAGCCGUCCAGCGGACGAACGGUAUCGAAGACAAAAAGAAAAGGAGGAGCAAAAUAGAAAAACGGACAUCUUUACCCAGCGGUCUGCCAUGUUAUUGCUAAAUGAAUCCUUAACAGGCAUCCUCCUCCAUGGCCGGGGGAAAAACCCUAGCAACUCCAGUACCCACAAUGCUCUUCUCCACAGACACCAACUGCAGUCUGCAGUCAGCUUUCCUAUCAACUACCUCUGAAAAGUAGUUGUUUUUGUGCAUUGACAUUCCCACUGUGAUUCCCAGGAUUAACAGUUCGACAAGGUCAGAAGGCCAAAAUUAGGGUGGGUGAGAGGAACCAUGUCAUCAGAGAAACCAAAGUGGUGUCACAACUGUUUGACAAAAUUUCUCAGUAAGAACACCACUGACUAAGUUCCAGAGGUUGGAGCCCUUGCUGGUGUGAGCUGGCCACUUCAGACAAUCCAGAGAUGGAAAAUAAGCUCUCAAAAUGCCAUUCUCAAGUUCUACCCCCAACGUCAGCGUACUUCCAUCAUUCCCCUCAACAUACCAGCAACCCAUAUAAAUGUAUCAAUCUUCCCAUCUGUUGAGAACCAUCAGAUUCAGCGUCCAUCAGCUUCCUGUUUCACUUCUCAUUCGUUCAGAUGGUUGUGUGAGUAACGUUCAGAAUUUGCUAUAAAGGGGAGCUAAGCACAUACUGAGUAUGAAGAUCAAUAAGAUCAGCCAUUCUUAAAGGAAAAGGAGUAUCAUAAGUUAACUGCUGUCCUGAUUUUGCCAAUUGUGUAUCCUUUGACUCACACAAAUUUCAACUCCAUUCCAACCAGGUACAACACAGACAACACACAUAUGAAUGUGUUCCCUUUCAUAGGUUCACUUCAAUGCUGCGUCAGUAUCUGUUGUCAAGAAACACCCAUGUGUGAUACGACUGAAACCCAUAGACACAUCAAUUCAUUGGCUGAUCUUCCUCAAGGGGUAUCGUGUCACUACCCCUAUGCUAGGAAGCACCUAUGCCAUCACCCCUCAGAUAUUUUUUUUCUUCAAGAAGUGAUUUCAUCACUAAACUUAAAAGCCUAUUUCAGGUCUUUAUCCAAGGAGAUACACUUAAUGAAGCAGCACAUAAUUCAUUUUUAUUCCUCAUAUCUCAGGUUGUGGUUGCAGACUCUGCAAGCUCUCUCCACAAUGGAUUGUCAGGUGGCUAUACUGCCUUAACAAGGCUCAAAGCAUGAUGUGGCUGAACAGAGCUCUGUACCAUAAUGCCUGGUGCCUCUCUCUGUCCAGUUGGCAGCAUGGAAACGUCUGUCAGAUGUGUCAUCUAAGGUCAUCCAAACCAUAAAAAGGUGUAUAGCAGGGGUCACCAGACCUCUAAUCAAACACACCUGAACCAGCUAAUCAAGGUCUUAUUAGGUAUACUUGAAACUUCCAGGCAGGUGUGUUGAGGAAAGUUGGAGGUAAACUCAGUAAACUCUUUAAGAAAGGAGCCUCCUCCUGGAAACAAGGGCCUCCUUCCCAGGAGAAGAGCAGGUUCUAUAGCUAUUAUUUUCUGGUGUCAAAAAGGAUGGGGUCUGUGCUCCAUUUUUGACUGAACUGUACUGGGGCAUUAGUGGCCAAAUGGUUAUGGCUCAUGCACCUUUAAUAGCAAGACUUGAUUUGAGACCCUUAGCAUCUUGCCACAUUUAUGAAGUGCAUAGAUGUUGCUCUGGCUGCUUUGUGACUCCAGGACAUAUGUGCAGUAAAUUACUACAAUUGUCUGAUUUUAGUUCAGUUUGAGGAGCCAGAAUGUAAGCAUUUUUCUUGAUCAUCUUCAAAGACUGAAAUGAAUUCCUGGAGCUCUACUGUUGAGGCAGCAGACUGUUUCUAGUGGUACAGAUUCACACCCUAUGCAGGCAUGGUUGUCUAUCAUUCUGCACAUGUCUGUUUAGCAAUCCUGAAGACACUGAUUAGCUUGUUCAGGUGUGUUUGAUAAGGGUUGAAGCUAAACUGGAGGAACUGGAGGAACAGCAGGACAGUGGUUCUCUAGCACCAAACUUGUCUACUCCUGCUUUAAAGUAUGGAUACUUUGGAUAAAUUGCCAUGUGCACACAGUUGGUACAGUGAGGGAGUUCUUACUGAGUGGGGUAAAGUUACUUGUAUCUCAUUUUAUGCACAGAAUGAGAUGGUUGAGACCUUUCUGUUCUGUCAGUGUGCCUCCAAUGUAUCUAUGGUCCUAGAAGACUUUGUUUGAUCUAAGACUCUGUUUGAUCAAUUAGUGUCAGCCAUUGAGAGGCUUCUGACUUAAAAGUUAUUUCUUAUAUCUCUCAAACACCAUGGUGACCCAACAGUAAAUUUGCACCAGGAUGUUGCUCUUGGUUUGUUAAGGUCUUUCUCUGACCUAAAUUAGAUUAGGCUAUAUACUUUUUCACUACUUUCCACUCUCGAGUGAUGUUAUUACAGUAAUUUUCUCCUCCAUCUCCUCCAUGCAAGAGACUGCAGCAGCUUUGUACUGUGAGGGCUUUGAGGAUUUGCAAAGACUGCUUGAGCUAGUGGCAUAAAUCUGAUCAGUUACUUUUUUGCUUUGGUCGCUGCCAUACAGCAUUAUUUGCCAUGAAACAGAUAAUGUUGCAUUGGGUGCAAUGACUGGUAAGAUGUUAUCAGAUGUAAUCACUAUGGACUACAAGCAGUGGUCGAAUUUUCUGGUAACACACUACCAGAAAACAGCUUACUUCCGCAUUGGUAAAAUAAGGUGGAUAAGGAGUUUGAACCCACUCUACUAGAAGAAAUACUAGUUCCCUUCCUCUUAAGCAUAGUUCAGACUACACGACUUAAAGGGUCAGCAGAUCGCUGUGCUGUUCAGACGUGCUGUCUGUCUUGAAGUCAUUGUGGUAUAUGUAUACGUAGCAGUAUCCGGCCCCCCAGUGUGUCCAGGUCAUCAAAUCUGACCCCCUUCAAAAAAAGUUUGGACACCCCUGGCUUAAAGGAACUUCUUUGGAGGACACCUGUGGUCCUCUCUGUACACAUUUGUCAAAUUUUACAAUUUUGGGUAUGGAUUUGACUCCUGGUUCCCGGUUGUCAUUUUUAUCCUUUCAGCAUUGAAGUGAACCUCUGAAAGAGAAUAUCUUGCCAUAUACUUCAUUUCAGCUAUGCUUUUUUUCAUAGAAAUCUGGUUGGUGUUUAAAGCUGCUUUUGAUUUUCAUUCAUGACUGAUUAUUGUACAGUGUUCAGACUUAUUAAAGACUGUUAUUAUAUAAUUUUAUUGUAAUAACAGCAUUUUUAUUAACAAUAAUAAUUUAUUGUAUUGUUAUUAGUGUUAUUAAAAUGUUUUGCUAUCGUC